AGGCUGUGAUUCACUUUGCUGGAAAAUCAAUGGCGGCCCAUGCCCAGCAGCCCCCGCACGUCGGCGGUCCGGUCUGGGUAGGUCCGGCCGUACCGGCUCCAACGACGACGGCCUCCCUCGUCGGCAGGCUGCGCGGCAUGAGAUACCUCCUGCUGCUCCCGGCCGAAGGUGGGCUGGUCCGGUGAGACCCGGCUCCUCCAGGUGCGCCAGCGCUGCCUGGAAAGGGAGGCCGACCUCCCUUCUCCACAUACGGACCACCUCCCUGCCACGAACUCCGAACUCCUGCUGUUGCAUGCCAGUAAGAAGAGGAAAGACACUAUCUGCAUUGUCCUUGCGCGCGGAGGACACUUAUGAGGAGCCUAAAGUUAGGAUGGAAAAGGUCGUAGGAAGAACCUGACGUGAAAUAUGGGAAUUGUAUCCGCACUCAUCCAAUUGGUGAUACAGUUGAAGGCAUUACUGAAAACUAUUUGAUGCCUUCUUGAAAUGGUUCAUGUUUGGGUCUGGUGGUGGUACAAGCAGCCCAAGGCGGUGGUGGUGAUGGCGAGGAUGGAUCAGGAAGGAGCCCACUCGGUCUGCGCCGGGGACGGGAACGAUAACUACCCGCAGGGUAUGAUUACUGGCCACGUGUAUUACUUCCUGGAAGAUGUGAACCCUCUGGUGACUGGCCAGCAUCCUGUGAAGACUCCUUUGUUCAUCAAGACUGAUGUUUGCUUACAACAAUCUGGUCGUGGCUUGGCCAACCAACGCCGGGCUCGGUCCGGGUGCAAGGUUUGGUUCUAUGGAGUAUGGACCCACAGUUCCAAUGAUCACCCGAUGUCCAUGACAUGCGACAGAUCUAGGAAAGCGAAUUCUUUUAUUCCUUCAUAUUGUGAGGUUGUGCGAUGCAAGGUCCACGUGUACUUAUGCAUGCUAGAUCAUUGUUAUUGUGCAUAACGAAUAUAUGUGACUGGCAAGGACAACGACGAGCCAGUUUAGCUGUGACAUGUAGCUGCUGCAGGUUAGUGCAUCUAGGGGAUAGGGGAUGUCGUCAUCGUAUAUGUGCCUUGGUCGUCGAACAAUCUAUAUGCGCCUUAUCAACUUCGUUGAUGUUUCUUGUUCAGUAUUGUUUUACACCUCUUGUAUAUUUGAAUGUCAAAUUUGUUGUGUUGUGUGCACUCUAGCAAGUUUUUGAUGUACAGUAAAUACUUGCUAUGUGAUCAUGAUG
This is a long non-coding RNA of Lolium rigidum, 1204 nucleotides long. RefSeq lists it as uncharacterized. The record is from RefSeq and is a predicted model, not a curated record. Lineage: Eukaryota; Viridiplantae; Streptophyta; Magnoliopsida; Poales; Poaceae. The transcript is spliced from 4 exons.